Molecule: ribosomal RNA, 253 nt
Filed under: uncultured bacterium
Lineage: Bacteria
Description: partial 16S ribosomal RNA
Rfam family: Bacterial small subunit ribosomal RNA
Source: RNAcentral
UACAGAGGGUGCGAGCGUUAAUCAGAAUUACUGGGCGUAAAGCGCGCGUAGGCGGCUUUGCAAGUCGGGUGUGAAAUCCCCAGGCUUAACCUGGGAACUGCAUUCGAGACUGCAUUGCUAGAGUAUGGGAGAGGGAAGUGGAAUUUCCGGUGUAGCGGUGAAAUGCGUAGAUAUCGGAAGGAACAUCAGUGGCGAAAGCGACUUCCUGGACCAAUACUGACGCUCAUGUGCGAAAGCGUGGGGAGCAAACAGG